Molecule: ribosomal RNA, 478 nt
Filed under: uncultured bacterium
Lineage: Bacteria
Description: partial 16S ribosomal RNA
Rfam family: Bacterial small subunit ribosomal RNA
Source: RNAcentral
GAUGGACGCUGGCGGCGUGCUUAACACAUGCAAGUCGAACGAGAAGUGAAGACGGAAACCUUCGGGCGGAAGGCUUUAUUUCGAGUGGCGGACGGGUGAGUAACGCGUGGGUAACCUGCCUCAUACAGGGGGAUAACAGUUGGAAACGACUGUUAAUACCGCAUAAGACCACAGCACCGCAUGGUGCGGGGGUAAAAACUCCGGUGGUAUGAGAUGGACCCGCGUUCGAUUAGCCAGUUGGCGGGGUAACGGCCCACCAAAGCGACGAUCGAUAGCCGAUCUGAGAGGAUGACCGGCCACAUUGGGACUGAGACACGGCCCAAACUCCUACGGGAGGCAGCAGUGGGGAAUAUUGCACAAUGGGGGAAACCCUGAUGCAGCGACGCCGCGUGAGUGAAGAAGUAUUUCGGUAUGUAAAGCUCUAUCAGCAGGGAAGAAAAUGACGGUACCUGAGUAAGAAGCCCCGGCUAACUACGUG